UUGAUGCGCACCGCUGGGAAGCCGGACAACGUAUCUUCAAGAUCGAGAUCGCCAUAGCUAAUCGGCGUGACACUCCUACCAGCUAAUCGGAAAGACUAAGUUUUGCUUAGUCUUGCUUUCCUCAUGUUUCUUACUCUCCUCGGGCUUGGAGGAUGUUUCAUUCUUGUCACUCUUACCAGCUGAAUCCACAUAAUUGACUCCACCUGACAUCAGAGCGACCCAAACCCCCUCGUUGGGGAGAGUUCGUCCUCAUCUCCUUUCCCUGCUCUCGGCUGCCCAUAUAUUUGUUUUGAUUCAGAUUCUCUCUCAGAUCAAAUUGGGUGGGUAUCUGGUUAUGUUGCUGAUUGUGAUUGGGAUGUUGUUGCCUGCUUCCAUCCCACUGGUUUCUCUGACUGUUAAACUGUCGUCCCCCUGGAAGCCCCCUCUCUUCUAUCCUCCCUACCUCUAUGCUGAAAACUCCCUCCACUCUCACAUGGACCUUGCAACCCACCACCAUCGCCGACUGAUCUGCCUCCACCACGCGGCACCCAGUGCCCCCCAGCCAUCCCUCUACCAGCCAUUGAGUCUGCGAACUUGGACAAAAGACCUAGUAUCACCUCCCAAACUCGACCACCUGCCAACCGCUGAACCACGAAGGGGAACAGAUGCAGCAGGCCUUCUCCAAUUCCUUGCAAGGACCUUGAUUUCUGCGCAAGCGCCCACCAAAGCACUUCUCGACCAGAGAUGAUUCAGCUAUUCCUCAAGAGCUGGAUCCUCCCCCCUCAAUUUGGAACACAGAGGGUUCCCAGAUCUUUGUCAAUUGCUAAUUUUGAUUAUAUUUGUAUUUUUAAAAUUAGCUACAGACAAAUCGUAUCUGACAUGGACUGGUGGGUCAAGUCCUAGUUCUUUUCUUAAUUUCAAAUGUAGCUAUUUAGUAAUCGUAUUCGACAUGGACGUUUUGGUCCAGUGCUAAUUUCUUAAAUUUUAAUUUCGAAAUGCGAUAUUAUUAAACAUUUUGAUAUGGACUUUUUGGGUUGAUAUAGACCCUUAGAUCAUCAUAAAAUAUUGUUUGUGCACAACGGCACAUAAAAAAGGUAAAGACUAGUAUAAGGCCCGCCGUAUUUUUGUUCUUUGGAAUGGCUUCCAUCCAUCUCGUGCGUCUUCUCCCGCACACUGCCCAUAACCCACUCGGCUGCCCAAAUCCUACUGCCUUUUCCUUUAUCUCUCAACCUUAUCUCUUCCCCACCGACACCUCCCCUCCUCCUUUCCCCAACCUCCCUUCCCCUUCCCCUUCCCUCCUUUCCUGCCGCAGGUCCCCCUCCCGGUCCUCUGCUGCGCCCUCCCUUGCUCUUCCCCCACACCCCGCGACCGCCUUCCCUGCGCGGCGGAGCGACGCGGGCAGCGCGGCGCAUCGCGGGCAGAGCGGCACGACGGGGCCGUAGCGGCGCAGGCCGAGCUCCUCAUCGGCGCCGCAACACCGGGGGUAUGGCUCCACCUCCGCGCCGUCCUUCGCCUCCGCCUCCACCACGUCGCCGCCUCCGUAGCAGCAACCUCAUCCGGGGGGCUCGCCCCGCAGUGAAGCGGAUGGCUCGGUCAGGCAGGCCCUUCUGCUCUUCGUCCACAACAAGCUAACCAUGUGCCCCGACCGCUGCUUCUCGUUCGCCUCCAUCAGCCAGACCGUCUCCAUGGUGAUUCUACUAUUUUUACUGCUAAGGUUGCUGCUGCAUAAGUUGCAGACGGAGUGGCAAGAGGGUGCUUCGAAGGAUCAGACUGUGCACAUGAAGGUGUGGCCGGUAAAGAUAUUUUGGGUCUGCUCCGAUCUCAAAUCUUGAGGUGUUCCUAAAGGCUGUCGCUACACAUUUGCCAUGGUGGUCAGGUCUCUUGGUGAGAUUAAUGCACCUCUGCAUUUGUUGAAACCAAGUUUGACUUUUCUACUGUCUAAGCAUUUUAUUAUGUCCUUAUGUCCUCUUGGUAAUGCAUAAUUCAGCCAUGCCAACUUUUGAUAAAUCAUCAAGUAAUUUAUUAAUUUUAGUUUAUCAUAUGCAUGCUGAUGGUAGCAUUUUUAUAUUUUCCUAUUCAUCAUUUUUUGGAUUUUGUGUAGGCAACUUAUGGUAAACAAACAGGCAAAUUAAUGACUGAAGUAGAUUGUUUUUUACUGAGAUAGCUAGGCAGAUUUGCAUGCUUCAUGUAGCAUGACGUCAGUAAUUCAAUGGCUCUUCUUUUUUCUUCAGUACAUGCAUGGAUUGCAGUACCAGCUAGGCAUAUCUUGAUAGGGGCUGGUUGUGGGCAGAAUAGAGAUUUUGCUUCAUACAUUCCUGCAUUGACUCCUAUAAAAUCAUAGUUAAAUUUUAGGGGGAAGCUCACUUAAAUACAUGACCCUGCAGCUCCUACUUUAUCACCUACAAUUCAGUGAGCAAAAUAGUGUUAUUCAGCGGGCAAAUUAGAGAAGUAUAGCCGGCAAAUAGCUAGGUGCUAUGUAGCUAGCAAACAACAAAUGCAUUCAAAACUAGCUAGCAUUUGAUCACAAAAUAGGCAGGGGGCACGGUAAGCAAAACAAGUAAAUUAAUUGGCAAACUUUGGGGGGGGGGACUGCAAUUCAGUAGUGAAAUCUUGCAAUUUUUUUUACUACAUCCCUUUUUUUUACUCUUAUGUGGUUGUCACUACAUGUUAAUACAUUACAUGGAACCUUUUUACUGUAACAUUUUUGUUAGGUGAUCAAAAUCAGCAAAAUACAGUAGAGUCUAUAUUGCUUGACAGGAUACUGCAAUUUCUUCAGUAUGCAGUAUCAUAAGCAGUUCAAGUAAGUCAGCUGGAUUAUCCUUCAUCUACUAGGCGUAUACAAUGUAUUAAUUUGCUAGAAUGUAGUCUAUGCGUCAUGGAAUUUGUUGUGUGUAUGAUUGCUUCUUAUUGUUGUGCAAUUAAAUGAAUUUCCUCUAAGCAGAUUAGUGUAAUACAACAUGCAAUUAAUUGAAUUUCCUCUAGGCAGAUUAGUCCAAUAUAGCAAGCAAUUAAAUGUUGUUUCAUAGGCAAAUUGGUGCAAUAGAGCAAGCAAAACAAUGGAUCAGUUACCUAUUGUAUAUUCUUUAUUAAUUUAUGAUAUAGAAUGUUUAUUGUUUCUAUUUUUGUCAUGGUGCAGGAGAUAGUAGGGAUCAGUAAAUAUCUUACAGCAAAAAAAUGACACGCAAGUAAGCACUAAGCAGUAGAUGGUAUGUGCACUUCUCCAACUAAGUUGUUUUUGGUCCCUGGAUUCACACAGUGCAGCAUCUUGGAGCUUCAUAUUUUGUUCUCUUGGUUGGAUAGUGCCGUCCAACCUCCCUUCUAGUAACACAUUUCUAGUAAAUCAAAAGCAGUUUCUACAGUUUCCCUCAGGCAUGUUUGUAAAGUGGAUCCAUGAACAGAAAUAAGGAUAUGUGAUGUGUUUUGUGGAAUAUGUGAAACUUUCCCUGCUAUGGAAAAUCUACCGGAACAAUCUGCUGAUUUAGAGCUAUAUUUGCACAAUAUAAUACUAGAUCUGGGCAAUUUA
Molecule: long non-coding RNA, 3502 nt
Organism: Panicum virgatum (switchgrass)
Lineage: Eukaryota; Viridiplantae; Streptophyta; Magnoliopsida; Poales; Poaceae
Exons: 3
Source: RefSeq, a predicted model, not a curated record